This is a long non-coding RNA of Antechinus flavipes (yellow-footed antechinus), 448 nucleotides long. RefSeq lists it as uncharacterized. The transcript is spliced from 2 exons. Lineage: Eukaryota; Metazoa; Chordata; Mammalia; Dasyuromorphia; Dasyuridae. The record is from RefSeq and is a predicted model, not a curated record.
UCAUUCUUACCUCGCAAAGGCUCCAUACACCUCCGACCACAGCCAAAGAAACAACACCUUUUCUCUCCCUGGCAAUCAUCAUCAAACCGACAGGUUGCGUUCAUCCCCAGUGUCGCCUUUUUGACCUCUGCUGAUCUGCAGGAGCCACUAAAAGGCUCCCUUUAUACUAAAUAUCCUCUGGCUCCCUCCCAGCAUCUGCCAUCAAUGCUCAUUGGAUCUGAAGUCCUUCAUUUAGGGAGUUAGCACAGAACAGAGAAUUUAGAUCUGGCUGGGGGCUUUGCAGCAAUUAUGAUCCUGGGGAUGCUGAGGGACAGGACCCAGAAAUACUCUAGGGGAGGGAAAUAGCAUUUUAGUGACAAGCCCACAAAAGGCCAUCAGGAAGGUGAUCUCAGGACAGAAACAAUAGGUCUAAGUGUUAGGGAAUAAAGUCCCUUUUCCUUCCUUUUCA